This 420-nucleotide ribosomal RNA is filed under the name Chloroflexota bacterium. Its description in RNAcentral is "Chloroflexi bacterium partial 16S ribosomal RNA". It matches the Rfam family "Bacterial small subunit ribosomal RNA", at positions 355 to 776 of the family's 1533-position model. Lineage: Bacteria; Bacillati; Chloroflexota. The record is from RNAcentral.
UGGGGGAUAUUGCACAAUGGGCGAAAGCCUGAUGCAGCGACGCCGCGUGGGGGAUGAAGGCUUUCGGGUUGUAAACCUCUUUCGCUAUCGAACAAGGCCCGCUUAGGGUGGGUUGAGGGUAGGUGGAGAAGAAGCGCCGGCUAACUACGUGCCAGCAGCCGCGGUAAUACGUAGGGCGCGAGCGUUGUCCGGAAUUAUUGGGCGUAAAGGGCUUGUAGGCGGCUUGUUGCGCCUGCUGUGAAAACGCGGGGCUUAACUUCGCGCGUGCAGUGGGUACGGGCAGGCUUGAGUGUGGUAGGGGUGACUGGAAUUCCAGGUGUAGCGGUGGAAUGCGCAGAUAUCUGGAGGAACACCAGUGGCGAAGGCGGCUCUCUGGUCUGUAACUGACGCUGAGGCUCGAAAGCGUGGGGAGCAAACAGG